RNAcentral lists this long non-coding RNA (205 nucleotides) under Elaeis guineensis (African oil palm). Its description in RNAcentral is "long non-coding RNA (EGUI_LNC009674)". Lineage: Eukaryota; Viridiplantae; Streptophyta; Magnoliopsida; Arecales; Arecaceae. The record is from RNAcentral.
GUGGUAUUUGAGUAUAAGAUUAUGACCAAUAGGGACAUGAUAGAAGUAGCAUAAAGAAUUCAAACUUUGGAUUUGGACCAAUAGAUAUUAUGAUGAAUUUUAUGUAUAAGUGGCAUAUGAUGUGUAUAACAGAAUUGAUGAGUUAUAUCUCAUAUUUCAAUAAGUAGAGUUUCACCUAAGCAUGAGAGGUGUUGAUCCUAAAAUA